GCUUUUUCUGAGCUCCUGCGCUGGGGAGGGUGGGUGGAUGCGUGACGGGAAAACAGCAAGUGCUUUGCAUUCACCCCACCGCUUUGCCAUCRUCCAAUUAACUCUAUUAAUAGCAGCAGCACUUCCCCAUCAGCAAAACUUUCAGGCUUGUAGCAGCUAAAUGCUUCCUGAGAGAUCCUGGACGUCAGGCAGGGCUGGGGCUCCUUAACGACGCGUGGUAUUUUAAUGAGCCUUGUACCUAGAAGAGGAUCAUAGGAAAUGGAUGGAAUUCCAUUUGUUGGUUUGAGGAACGGAGGAAAGAACAUGUGUUUGGUGCUACACGUAGCUGAGGAUGCAAUGUGCAAAACUUUCUCCUGGCCUGGAAACUGGUGGAGCUUUGUCUUCAGGAGAAGACUGAGAGCUUGCUGCUCUGCUAGGUAGAGCCAGCRACUUUCUGAAGAUCAGCGGGCAGAGGAUGUGCUCCGGCUGGGAAGGGGCACUGAAUUCGUUGGCACGGAUGAACUGAGCUACUGACGGUCUACUCUGAAGACAAAUCUAAGCAAAGGGCAUGAAAUAAUGUGACAAAARUUGUAAAUCACUGCACCACUCUCUGCCAGUUCUCCGGUCCAGCCUGCCAGCCCYGUAGCCGUCCGUUGGCACCAUCCG
RNAcentral lists this long non-coding RNA (645 nucleotides) under Dromaius novaehollandiae (emu). RNAcentral's name for it is "lncRNA (ENSDNVG00000004298.1)". Lineage: Eukaryota; Metazoa; Chordata; Aves; Casuariiformes; Dromaiidae. The record is from RNAcentral.